AGUGAACGCUGGCGGUAGGCCUAACACAUGCAAGUCGAACGGCAGCACAGUAAGAGCUUGCUCUUACGGGUGGCGAGUGGCGGACGGGUGAGGAAUACAUCGGAAUCUACUUUUUCGUGGGGGAUAACGUAGGGAAACUUACGCUAAUACCGCAUACGACCUACGGGUGAAAGCAGGGGAUCUUCGGACCUUGCGCGAUUGAAUGAGCCGAUGUAGGAUUAGCUAGUUGGCGGGGUAAAGGCCCACUAAGGCGACGAUCCGUAGGUGGUCUGAGACGAUGAUCAGCCACACUGGAACUGAUACACGGUCCAGACUCCUACGGGAGGCAGCAGUGGGGAAUAUUCGACAAUGGGCGCAAGCCUGAUCCAGCCAUACCGCGUGGGUGAAGAAGGCCUUCGGGUUGUAAAGCCCUUUUGUUGGGAAAGAAAAGCAGCAGGUUAAUACCCCGCUGUUCUGACGGUACCCAAAGAAUAAGCACCGGCUAACUUCGUG
This 492-nucleotide ribosomal RNA is filed under the name uncultured bacterium. Its description in RNAcentral is "partial 16S ribosomal RNA". It matches the Rfam family "Bacterial small subunit ribosomal RNA", at positions 29 to 507 of the family's 1533-position model. The record is from RNAcentral.